RNAcentral lists this ribosomal RNA (510 nucleotides) under uncultured bacterium. RNAcentral describes it as "partial 16S ribosomal RNA". It matches the Rfam family "Bacterial small subunit ribosomal RNA", at positions 28 to 507 of the family's 1533-position model. The record is from RNAcentral.
GACGAACGCUGGCGGCGUGCUUAACACAUGCAAGUCGAACGAAGAGCGAUGGAAGCUUGCUUCUAUCAAUCUUAGUGGCGAACGGGUGAGUAACGCGUAAUCAACCUGCCCUUCAGAGGGGGACAACAGUUGGAAACGACUGCUAAUACCGCAUACGAUCUAAUCUCGGCAUCGAGGAUAGAUGAAAGGUGGCCUCUACAUGUAAGCUAUCACUGAAGGAGGGGAUUGCGUCUGAUUAGCUAGUUGGAGGGGUAACGGCCCACCAAGGCGAUGAUCAGUAGCCGGGCUGAGAGGAUGAACGGCCACAUUGGGACUGAGACACGGCCCAGACUCCUACGGGAGGCAGCAGUGGGGAAACUUCCGCAAUGGACGAAAGUCUGACGGAGCAACGCCGCGUGAGUGAUGACGGCCUUCGGGUUGUAAAGCUCUGUUAAUCGGGACGAAAGGCCUUCUUGCGAAUAGUGAGAAGGAUUGACGGUACCGGAAUAGAAAGCCACGGCUAACUACGUG